This 253-nucleotide ribosomal RNA is filed under the name uncultured bacterium. Its description in RNAcentral is "partial 16S ribosomal RNA". It matches the Rfam family "Bacterial small subunit ribosomal RNA", at positions 524 to 776 of the family's 1533-position model. The record is from RNAcentral.
UACGUAGGGGGCAAGCGUUGUCCGGAAUCAUUGGGCGUAAAGAGCGUGUAGGCGGCCCGGUAAGUCCGCUGUGAAAGUCCAGGGCUCAACCCUGGGAUGCCGGUGGAUACUGUCGGGCUCGAGUCCGGAAGAGGAGUGUGGAAUUCCAGGUGUAGCGGUGAAAUGCGCAGAUAUCGGGAGGAACACCAAUUGCGAAGGCAGCUCGCUGGGACGUCACUGACGCUGAGACGCGAAAGCGUGGGGAGCAAACAGG